RNAcentral lists this ribosomal RNA (468 nucleotides) under uncultured bacterium. Its description in RNAcentral is "partial 16S ribosomal RNA". It matches the Rfam family "Bacterial small subunit ribosomal RNA", at positions 28 to 507 of the family's 1533-position model. The record is from RNAcentral.
GACGAACGCUGGCGGCGUGCUUAACACAUGCAAGUCGAACGGAAAGGCCCUGCUUUUGUGGGGUGCUCGAGUGGCGAACGGGUGAGUAACACGUGAGUAACCUGCCCUUGACUUUGGGAUAACUUCAGGAAACUGGGGCUCAUACCGGAUAGGAGCUCCUGCUGCAUGGUGGGGGUUGGAAAGUUUCGGCGGUUGGGGCUGGACUCGCGGCUUAUCAGCUUGUUGGUGGGGUAGUGGCUUACCAAGGCUUUGACGGGUAGCCGGCCUGAGAGGGUGACCGGCCACAUUGGGACUGAGAUACGGCCCAGACUCCUACGGGAGGCAGCAGUGGGGAAUAUUGCACAAUGGGCGGAAGCCUGAUGCAGCAACGCCGCGUGCGGGAUGACGGCCUUCGGGUUGUAAACCGCUUUCGCCUGUGACGAAGCGUGAGUGACGGUAAUGGGUAAAGAAGCACCGGCUAACUACGUG